Suricata suricatta (meerkat) is the source of this 181-nucleotide long non-coding RNA. RefSeq lists it as uncharacterized. The transcript has 3 exons. The record is from RefSeq and is a predicted model, not a curated record. Lineage: Eukaryota; Metazoa; Chordata; Mammalia; Carnivora; Herpestidae.
UGGUAUUUAACAGAUCAGGAUUUAAAGCUCAACUUCAAAUCUUUGGCAAGCAAUGAAUUGAGGGUGAUCUAGCUGAAAGAGAAAAGACAAGAGGUUUUCCUUGGGCCAAGCAUCCAUUACAGGGCAGCUUUCUGCAUGAUGCUAAGAACAUAAUUUACUGACUGAUCAUUAGGAAGACCAG